GAUGAACGCUGGCGGCGUGCCUAAUACAUGCAAGUCGAGCGAAAAGACGAGGAGCUUGCUCCUCUGACGUUAGCGGCGGACGGGUGAGUAACACGUGGAUAACCUACCUAUAAGACUGGGAUAACUUCGGGAAACCGGAGCUAAUACCGGAUCAUAUAUUGAACCGCAUGGAUCAAUAGUGAAAGACGGUUUUGCUGUCACUUAUAGAUGGAUCCGCGCCGCAUUAGCUAGUUGGUAAGGUAACGGCUUGCCAAGGCAACGAUGCGUAGCCGACCUGAGAGGGUGAUCGGCCACACUGGAACUGAGACACGGUCCAGACUCCUACGGGAGGCAGCAGUAGGGAAUCUUCCGCAAUGGGCGAAAGCUUGACGGAGCAACGCCGCGUGAGUGAUGAAGGUCUUCGGAUCGUAAAACUCUGUUAUUAGGGAAGAAAAAAUGUGUAAGUAACUAUGCACGUCUUGACGGUACCUAAUCAGAAAGCCACGGCUAACUACGUG
Molecule: ribosomal RNA, 497 nt
Filed under: uncultured bacterium
Lineage: Bacteria
Description: partial 16S ribosomal RNA
Rfam family: Bacterial small subunit ribosomal RNA
Source: RNAcentral